AUCCGUGGUGAUUAUGGCCAUGUUGUUUAUCAGGUCUCAUGGCCUAGUUUCCUCGGAUUU
This 60-nucleotide microRNA precursor is filed under the name Branchiostoma lanceolatum (amphioxus). Its description in RNAcentral is "Bla-Mir-12494-P2b_pre stem-loop". Lineage: Eukaryota; Metazoa; Chordata; Leptocardii; Amphioxiformes; Branchiostomatidae. The record is from RNAcentral.